RNAcentral lists this ribosomal RNA (464 nucleotides) under Vreelandella stevensii. RNAcentral's name for it is "partial 16S ribosomal RNA". It matches the Rfam family "Bacterial small subunit ribosomal RNA", at positions 338 to 795 of the family's 1533-position model. The record is from RNAcentral. Lineage: Bacteria; Pseudomonadati; Pseudomonadota; Gammaproteobacteria; Oceanospirillales; Halomonadaceae.
CCUACGGGAGGCUGCAGUGGGGAAUAUUGGACAAUGGGCGAAAGCCUGAUCCAGCCAUGCCGCGUGUGUGAAGAAGGCCUUCGGGUUGUAAAGCACUUUCAGUGGGGAAGAAAGCCUUGGGGCUAAUACCCUCGAGGAAGGACAUCACCCACAGAAGAAGCACCGGCUAACUCCGUGCCAGCAGCCGCGGUAAUACGGAGGGUGCGAGCGUUAAUCGGAAUUACUGGGCGUAAAGCGCGCGUAGGCGGUCUGAUAAGCCGGUUGUGAAAGCCCCGGGCUCAACCUGGGAACGGCAUCCGGAACUGUCAGGCUAGAGUGCAGGAGAGGAAGGUAGAAUUCCCGGUGUAGCGGUGAAAUGCGUAGAGAUCGGGAGGAAUACCAGUGGCGAAGGCGGCCUUCUGGACUGACACUGACGCUGAGGUGCGAAAGCGUGGGUAGCAAACAGGAUUAGAUACCCCAUAGUC